This 468-nucleotide ribosomal RNA is filed under the name uncultured bacterium. RNAcentral's name for it is "partial 16S ribosomal RNA". It matches the Rfam family "Bacterial small subunit ribosomal RNA", at positions 28 to 507 of the family's 1533-position model. The record is from RNAcentral.
GACGAACGCUGGCGGCGUGCUUAACACAUGCAAGUCGAACGGAAAGGCCCUGCUUUUGUGGGGUGCUCGAGUGGCGAACGGGUGAGUAACACGUGAGUAACCUGCCCUUGACUUUGGGAUAACUUCAGGAAACUGGGGCUAAUCCCGGAUAGGAGCUCCUGCUGCAUGGUGGGGGUUGGAAAGUUUCGGCGGUUGGGGAUGGACUCGCGGCUUAUCAGCUUGUUGGUGGGGUAGUGGCUUACCAAGGCUUUGACGGGUAGCCGGCCUGAGAGGGUGACCGGCCAAAUUGGGACUGAGAUACGGCCCAGACUCCUACGGGAGGCAGCAGUGGGGAAUAUUGCACAAUGGGCGGAAGCCUGAUGCAGCAAAGCCGCGUGCGGGAUGACGGCCUUCGGGUUGUAAACCGCUUUCGCCUGUGACGAAGCGUGAGUGACGGUAAUGGGUAAAGAAGCACCGGCUAACUACGUG